GAGUUUGAUCGUGGCUCAGGACGAACGCUGGCGGCGUGCCUAACACAUGCAAGUCGAGCGAGAGGAGUUCCUUCGGGAACAAAUCUAGCGGCGGACGGGUGAGUAACACGUGGGCAACCUGCCUUGUAGAGGGGAAUAGCCUUCCGAAAGGAAGAUUAAUACCGCAUAACAUUACAUUUUCGCAUGAAGAAGUAAUUAAAGGAGCAAUCCGCUACAAGAUGGGCCCGCGGCGCAUUAGCUAGUUGGUGAGGUAACGGCUCACCAAGGCGACGAUGCGUAGCCGACCUGAGAGGGUGAUCGGCCACAUUGGGACUGAGACACGGCCCAGACUCCUACGGGAGGCAGCAGUGGGGAAUAUUGCACAAUGGGGGAAACCCUGAUGCAGCAACGCCGCGUGAGUGAUGAAGGUUUUCGGAUCGUAAAGCUCUGUCUUC
Molecule: ribosomal RNA, 434 nt
Filed under: uncultured bacterium
Lineage: Bacteria
Description: bacterial SSU rRNA
Rfam family: Bacterial small subunit ribosomal RNA
Source: RNAcentral